UAGGAUAGCCACUAGAAGUGGAGGGUAAUACUGUAUAAUCCCUGCGGGGGAAAGAUUUAUCGCUACAUGAUGAGCCUAUGUUAGAUUAGCUAGUUGGUGGGGUAAUGGCCUACAAAGGCAGUGAUCUAUAGCUGGUCUGAGAGGAUGAUCAGCCACACUGGAACUGAGACACGGUCCAGACUCCUACGGGAGGCAGCAGUGGGGAAUAUUGGACAAUGGACGCAAGCCUGAUCCAGCUAUGCCGCGUGAGUGAGGAAGGCCUUAGGGUUGUAAAACUCUUUCAGUGGGGAAGAUAAUGACGGUACCCACAGAAGAAGUCCCGGCAAACUCCGUGCCAGCAGCCGCGGUAAUACGGAGGGGGCAAGCGUUGUUCGGAAUUAUUGGGCGUAAAGGGCAUGUAGGUGGUUUGGUAAGUUAAAGGUGAAAUGCCAGGGCUUAACCCUGGAGCUGCUU
This 453-nucleotide ribosomal RNA is filed under the name Anaplasma bovis. Its description in RNAcentral is "bacterial SSU rRNA". It matches the Rfam family "Bacterial small subunit ribosomal RNA", at positions 139 to 626 of the family's 1533-position model. Lineage: Bacteria; Pseudomonadati; Pseudomonadota; Alphaproteobacteria; Rickettsiales; Anaplasmataceae. The record is from RNAcentral.